GUCUACAACCGUACUACCCUGAAUGUGCCUGAUCUUGUCAGAUGUUAAAAGCUAAGCAGGGUUGGGCCUGCUUAGUACUUGGAUGGUAGACCACCUAGGAGUACUAGGUGCUGUAGGCG
This 119-nucleotide ribosomal RNA is filed under the name Pteropus alecto (black flying fox). Lineage: Eukaryota; Metazoa; Chordata; Mammalia; Chiroptera; Pteropodidae. The record is from RNAcentral.